This 434-nucleotide ribosomal RNA is filed under the name uncultured Oscillospiraceae bacterium. RNAcentral's name for it is "bacterial SSU rRNA". It matches the Rfam family "Bacterial small subunit ribosomal RNA", at positions 341 to 792 of the family's 1533-position model. The record is from RNAcentral. Lineage: Bacteria; Bacillati; Bacillota; Clostridia; Eubacteriales; Oscillospiraceae.
ACGGAAGGCAGCAGUGGGGAAUAUUGCACAAUGGGGGAAACCCUGAUGCAGCGAUGCCGCGUGAAGGAUGAAGUUCUUCGGAAUGUAAACUUCUAUCAGCAAGGAAGAAAAUGACAGUACUUGACUAAGCAGCCCUGGCUAACUACGUGCCAGCAGCCGCGGUAAUACGUAGGUGGCAAGCGUUAUCCGGAUUUACUGGGUGUAAAGGGCGCGUAGGCGGGGAUGCAAGUCAGAUGUGAAAUCUAUGGGCUUAACUCAUAAACUGCAUUUGAAACUGUAUUUCUUGAGUGCUGGAGAGGUAGAUGGAAUUCCUUGUGUAGCGGUGAAAUGCGUAGAUAUAAGGAAGAACACCAGUGGCGAAGGCGAUCUACUGGACAGUAACUGACGCUGAGGCGCGAAAGCGUGGGGAGCAAACAGGAUUAGAUACCCUGGUA